Molecule: unclassified non-coding RNA, 400 nt
Filed under: soil metagenome
Description: partial contains 5.8S ribosomal RNA, internal transcribed spacer 2, and large subunit ribosomal RNA
Rfam family: 5.8S ribosomal RNA (bases 1-122)
Source: RNAcentral
GAUGAAGAACGUAGCGAAAUGCGAUACUUGGUGUGAAUUGCAGAAUCCCGUGAACCAUCGAGUCUUUGAACGCAAGUUGCGCCUCAAGCCAUUAGGUUGAGGGCACGUCUGCCUGGGCGUCACAUAUCGUUGCCUGAUGCCAGUUUCCUCGUGAUGGGUGACUGUGCAGGGCGAAUGAUGGCUUCCCGUGAGCAUUGUUGCCUCAUGGUUGGUUGAAAAUUGAGUCCUUGGUAGGGAGCGCCGUGAUAGAUGGUGGUUGAGUGACGAACGAGACCCAAUCAUGUGAGACCCCUACCGAAUUUGGCCUUCAUGACCCACAUGCGUCUUUGGAACGCUCAUGACGAGACCUCAGGUCAGGCGGGGCUACCCGCUGAGUUUAAGCAUAACAAUAAGCGGAGGA